This is a non-coding RNA of Coffea arabica (coffee), 2534 nucleotides long. The record is from RefSeq and is a predicted model, not a curated record. Lineage: Eukaryota; Viridiplantae; Streptophyta; Magnoliopsida; Gentianales; Rubiaceae.
UUGGCAGAUUCAGCAAUACGAUAAUAAAGGAUCUAAUCAUAAAUUGUCAAAAAGCAUCUUCUAUAUGAGGACCAUUACUGUGAUCAAGCAACUGACACUAUCUCAUGUAGCUCAUGGAGUUGGAGAAGGAAUCAAGGCUUUCUAUGAUAUCAAGUAUUUCGAAGAAUGUGUGACCUAUGGAGACGGGGAGGAGGUGGAGAAGUACUUAUCAUGAUUCACAAAUGCAGAGGAUAAUCCUGAAUCUUUUAGCAUUUUCUUUGAGAUUAGAAGGCAGAAUUAUUAUGAAGCACAUGACAAGAGUGAUCGUAAAAUGAUGCUGGACAUUCUUAAAAGAGACCUCAAAUUUGGAUGAUUUGCAAUUGGUAACUCAGUAUUGGAAGUGAAGCUUCUUAGAAUGGUAUGAGCAAAAGAAUGCCUUUAAUUGCCCCCUAUAAACUGAGGCAAAAUGCGAUGCUUGGAUUUGAAAUUGAGGCAAAAAUGUUGUUCCGAGGUCAAAAUCAAGCAUUCUGGAUACAGAGAGUGCUGAACCAGAAAAUUUGAAGGUGGAAGGAGUGGUUGAUUUGUUUUCAAAAUAAUGCAUGUGCAGACUAUAUAAAAGGAUUCAUCUCAAAUCAGUUGAAUGAUUAAGUUGCCCGCUGUGCUUAUAUUCUUUCUAUUCUGUCAUGUCUUCUUUGUACUCUGUAGAAUUUUUCAAUCUGGGCUUUUCUGGUACUUGUACGAUUUUUUAAACUUUGUAAGAGUGUGUGAUGUGGAUGUAUAUGAAGCAAAACCACAUUGGUAUUAAGUAUAUGACAUAUUUUUCCGGAAAGCAAGAGAAGCUUUCGGACCAUGGAGAUGAGAAGUCAGCCGGGAUCCUACUGAUGGCUAAGCUUAAGCAGUUGAUUGAGGCAAAUCCACUAAUUGGUGAUAAGCUUCAGCUUCCUAUCUUGCAGAAGUCAAGACUAGAAACACUAGUCAAACUGAGCUUAGGUUGGUAGAUUCAGCAAUGCGAUACUAAAGGAUCUAAUCAUAAACUGUCCAAGAAUCUUCAAUAUGAGGACCCUUACUGUGAGGAAGCAACUGACACCAUCCCCUGUAGCUCAUGGAGUUGGAGAAUGAAUCAAGGCUUUUCUUUGAUAUCAAGUAUUUCUAAGAAUGUGUGAGCAAUGGAGACUGGGAGGAGGCGGAGAAGUGCUUAUCACGGUUCACAAAUGCAGAGGAUAACCCCAAAUCCUUUAGCAUUUUCUUUGAGAUCAGAAGGCAGAAUUAUUAUGAAGCACAUGACAAAAACCAAGAGAAGCUUUCUGACCAUGGAGAUGAUAAUUCAACCAAGAUCCUACUGAUGGCUAAGCUGAAGCGGUUGAUUGAGGCAAAUCCACUCAUUGGUGACAAGCUUCAGCUUCCUACCUUGUAGAUGUCAAGACUAGAAACACUAUUCAAACAGAGCUCAUGUUGGCAGAUUUAGCAAUGCGAUACUAAAGGAUCUAAUCAUAAACUGCCCAAGAAUCUUCUAUAUGAGGACCCUUACUGUGGUCAAGCAAUCGACACCAUCUCCUUUAGCUCAUGGAGUUGGAGAGGGAAUCAAGGCUUUUCUUUGAUAUCAAGUAUUUGUAAGAAUGUGUGAGCAAUGGAGACUGGGAGUAGGUGGAGAAGUAUUUAUCACGGUUCACAAAUGCAGAGGAUAACCCUGAAUCCUUUAGCAUUUUCUUUGAGAUAAGAAGGCAGAAUUAUUAUGAACCACAUGACAAGGGUGAUCGUAAAAUGAUGCUGGACAUUCUUAAAAGGGACCUCGAAGUGUUUACUCUUUCCCAAGUAGAUCUUUACAGGGGACUUGUACUCCUUUUCUAACUGAAUAACUUUCGAUGCAUAUAACAACGUCUUUUUUGUUCUCAUUGAUUGAUGCAAGUGAUUAUGGUGAUUAUUUUUGUAGUAUGGAUGAGUUGCAAUUGGUAACUCUGUAUUGGAAGUGAAGUUUCUUAGAAUGGUAUGACUAGAAGAAUGCCUUUAAUUGCCCCCUAUAAACUGAGGUAAAAUGUGAUAUUUGGAUUUGAAACUGAGGCAAGCAAGAUGUUUCGGGGUCAAAAUAAGGCAUUAUGGAUGCAGGGACUGCUAAACCAGAAAAUCCUAAGGUGGAAGGAGUGGUUGAUUUGUUUUCAAAAUAAUGUGUGUGCAAACUGUAUAAGAGGAUUCAUCUUGCUUGCCUUAUUUUGUGUACAAACUGUAUAAGAGCAUUCAAAAUAAUAUGUGUGCAAACUGUAUAAGAGCAAAUUGUAUAAGAGGAUUCAAGAUAAUGUGUGUGCAAACUGUAUAAGAGAAGACAUCUCCAUGUUUUUUCCAUUUUGUCAAUGUCUCCUUUGUACUCCGUAGAAUUUUUCAAUCUGGCCUUUUCUGGUACUUGUAAGAUUUUUUAGGCUUUGUAAGAGUGUGUGUUAUAGAUAUAUAAGAGGUUGAUUUUUUUAGGCCUUGUAAGAGUGUGCGUUGGGAAGAGUGUAUGUUGGUAAGAGUGUGUAUUGGUAAGAUUUUUUUGGGCCUUGUAAGAGUGUGUGUUGGUAAGA